UCAGAUCACAUUGGACCGUACCGUAAACCGACACUGGUGGGUGAGCAGAUAAUCUGCCAAGGCGCUUGAGAGAACUCGGGUUAAGGAACUCUGCAAAUUGAUACCGUACCUUCUGAAGAAGGUAUGCCUUCGACGGUGUAGGGAUUUACUCCCGAAGCUGUUGAAGGUCGCAGGUAAUCGGUGGCUGCGACUGUUUAUCAAAAACACAGGACUCUGCGAACACGCAAGUGGAAGUAUAGGGUCUGACGCCUGCCCGGUGCCGGAAGGUUAAUUGAUGGGGUUAGCCGCAAGGCGAAGCUCUUGAUCGAAGCCCCGGUAAACGGCGGCCGUAACGAUAACGGUCCUAAGGUAGCGAAAUUCCUUGUCGGGUAAGUUCCGACCUGCACGAAUGGCGUAACGCUGGCCACACUGUCUCGACCCGAGACUCAGUGAAGUUGAAAUCGCUGUGAAGAUGCGGCGUUCCCGCGGCAAGACGGAAAGACCCCGUGAACCUUCACUACAGCUUUACACUGAACUUUGAACCUUUCUGUGUAGGAUAGGUGGGAGGCUAUGAAACUUGGGCGCUAGCUCGAGUGGAGCCAACCUUGAAAUACCACCCUGGGAUGUUUGAAGUUCUAACCUUGGUCCGUAAUCCGGAUUGGGGACAGUGUAUGGUGGGUAGUUUGACUGGGGCGGUCUCCUCCCAAAGAGUAACGGAGGAGUGCAAUGGUACGCUCAGCGCGGUCGGUCAUCGCGCUCUAGAGUGCAAAGGCAUAAGCGUGCUUAACUGUGAGACAGACACGUCGAACAGGUACGAAAGUAGGUCUUAGUGAUCCGGUGGUUCUGUAUGGAAGGGCCAUCGCUCAACGGAUAAAAGGUACUCCGGGGAUAACAGGCUUAUUCCUCCCAAGAGUCCACAUCGACGGAGGAGUUUGGCACCUCGAUGUCGGCUCAUCACAUCCUGGGGCUGUAGCAGGUCCCAAGGGUAUGGCUGUUCGCCAUUUAAAGUGGUACGCGAGCUGGGUUCAGAACGUCGUGAGACAGUUCGGUCCCUAUCUGCCGUGGGCGUUGGAAACUUGAGGGUGAGCUGUCCUUAGUACGAGAGGACCGGGAUGGACGUAUCUCUGGUGUUCCGGUUGUCACGCCAGUGGCACUGCCGGGUAGCUAUAUACGGACGGGAUAAGCGCUGAAAGCAUCUAAGCGCGAAGCCCCCCCCAAGAUUAGGUUUCCCUGGGAACUCGAUUCCCCUAAAGGGCCGUCGGAGACUACGACGUUGAUAGGCUGGGUGUGUAAGUGCAGCAAUGCAUUGAGCUAACCAGUACUAAUUGCCCGUGAGGCUUGACCAG
This 1325-nucleotide ribosomal RNA is filed under the name metagenome. RNAcentral describes it as "bacterial LSU rRNA". It matches the Rfam family "Bacterial large subunit ribosomal RNA", at positions 1627 to 2925 of the family's 2925-position model. The record is from RNAcentral.